This 643-nucleotide ribosomal RNA is filed under the name Gliophorus graminicolor. RNAcentral's name for it is "eukaryotic LSU rRNA". The stretch from base 227 to 384 matches the Rfam family "5.8S ribosomal RNA". The record is from RNAcentral. Lineage: Eukaryota; Fungi; Basidiomycota; Agaricomycetes; Agaricales; Hygrophoraceae.
UAAAAGUCGUAACAAGGNNNCCGUAGGUGAACCUGCGGAAGGAUCAUUAUUGAAUUUUCAAAGAGGUUGUUGCUGGCUCCUUCCCGGAGCAAUGUGCACGCCUCGACAUCCACAUCUUCACCCCUUGUGCACUCUUUGUAGGAUCGAAGAAAUUUGGUCCUAUGUUUUAUAACACCCUUGAAUGUUCCUUUGAACAAAUUGUAUUAUUAUAAAUAAUAACUUAUACAACUUUCAACAACGGAUCUCUUGGCUCUCGCAUCGAUGAAGAACGCAGCGAAAUGCGAUAAGUAAUGUGAAUUGCAGAAUUCAGUGAAUCAUCGAAUCUUUGAACGCACCUUGCGCUCCUUGGUGUCCACACUGAGGAGCAUGCCUGUUUGAGUGUCGUGAAAUCCUCAACCUCGUUUGAUUUUUUGUCUGACGAGUUUGGAUCAUGGAGUGUGCCGGCUGAAAGGUUGGCUCCUCUGAAAUGCAUUAGUGAAACCUUUCAAACGGAAAUGGGCUUUGGUUUGAUAAUUGCUUGUCUAUGCCAUUGCCUUGCCGUGAUGCUUUCGCUUAAAUAACUGUCUUCGGACAAUUGACACCAUUUGACCUCAAAUCAGGGAGGACUACCCGCUGAACUUAAGCAUAUCAAUAAGCGGAGGAA